RNAcentral lists this ribosomal RNA (465 nucleotides) under Vreelandella stevensii. RNAcentral's name for it is "partial 16S ribosomal RNA". It matches the Rfam family "Bacterial small subunit ribosomal RNA", at positions 338 to 795 of the family's 1533-position model. Lineage: Bacteria; Pseudomonadati; Pseudomonadota; Gammaproteobacteria; Oceanospirillales; Halomonadaceae. The record is from RNAcentral.
CCUACGGGAGGCAGCAGUGGGGAAUAUUGGACAAUGGGCGAAAGCCUGAUCCAGCCAUGCCGCGUGUGUGAAGAAGGCCUUCGGGUUGUAAAGCACUUUCAGUGGGGAAGAAAGCCUUGGGGCUAAUACCCUCGAGGAAGGACAUCACCCACAGAAGAAGCACCGGCUAACUCCGUGCCAGCAGCCGCGGUAAUACGGAGUGUGCGAGCGUUAAUCGGAAUUACUGGGCGUAAAGCGCGCGUAGGCGGUCUGAUAAGCCGGUUGUGAAAGCCCCGGGCUCAACCUGGGAACGGCAUCCGGAACUGUCAGGCUAGAGUGCAGGAGAGGAAGGUAGAAUUCACGGUGUAGCGGUGAAAUGCGUAGAGAUCGGGAGGAAUACCAGUGGCGAAGGCGGCCUUCUGGACUGACACUGACGCUGAGGUGCGAAAGCGUGGGUAGCAAACAGGAUUAGAUACCCCUGUAGUC